RNAcentral lists this ribosomal RNA (290 nucleotides) under uncultured stramenopile. Its description in RNAcentral is "partial 18S ribosomal RNA". It matches the Rfam family "Eukaryotic small subunit ribosomal RNA", at positions 1543 to 1831 of the family's 1831-position model. The record is from RNAcentral.
UGGGUAAUCUUUGAACGUGAAUCGUGCUGGGGAUAGAUGAUUGCAAUUAUUCAUCUUCAAUGAGGAAUUCCUAGUAAACGCAAGUCAUCAGCUUGCAUUGAUUACGUCCCUGCCCUUUGUACACACCGCCCGUCGCACCUACCGAUUGAAUGGUCCGGCGAAAUCUUCGGAUCUGAGAGAUGCUGGAUUCAUUUUUGGCAUCUUUUAGAAAAGUUGCUUAAACCUUAUCAUUUAGAGGAAGGUGAAGUCGUAACAAGGUUUCCGUAGGUGAACCUGCGGAAGGAUCAUUA